This 425-nucleotide ribosomal RNA is filed under the name uncultured bacterium. RNAcentral describes it as "bacterial SSU rRNA". It matches the Rfam family "Bacterial small subunit ribosomal RNA", at positions 356 to 773 of the family's 1533-position model. The record is from RNAcentral.
GGGGAAUUUUGGACAAUGGGGGCAACCCUGAUCCAGCCAUGCCGCGUGAGUGAAGAAGGCCUUCGGGUUGUAAAGCUCUUUCGGCCGGGAAGAAAUCGUACGGGUUAAUACCCUGUGCGGAUGACGGUACCGGCAUAAGAAGCACCGGCUAACUACGUGCCAGCAGCCGCGGUAAUACGUAGGGUGCGAGCGUUAAUCGGAAUUACUGGGCGUAAAGCGUGCGCAGGCGGUUUUGUAAGACAGGCGUGAAAUCCCCGGGCUCAACCUGGGAACUGCGCUUGUGACUGCAAGGCUAGAGUACGGCAGAGGGGGGUGGAAUUCCACGUGUAGCAGUGAAAUGCGUAGAGAUGUGGAGGAACACCAAUGGCGAAGGCAGCCCCCUGGGUCGAUACUGACGCUCAUGCACGAAAGCGUGGGUAGCAAAC